Molecule: ribosomal RNA, 3006 nt
Filed under: Salmonella enterica
Lineage: Bacteria; Pseudomonadati; Pseudomonadota; Gammaproteobacteria; Enterobacterales; Enterobacteriaceae
Also listed under: 1 other name
Description: 23S ribosomal RNA
Rfam family: Bacterial large subunit ribosomal RNA
Source: RNAcentral
GGUUAAGCGACUAAGCGUACACGGUGGAUGCCCUGGCAGUCAGAGGCGAUGAAGGACGUGCUAAUCUGCGAUAAGCGCCGGUAAGGUGAUAUGAACCGUUAUAACCGGCGAUUUCCGAAUGGGGAAACCCAGUGUGAUUCGUCACACUAUCAUUAACUGAAUCCAUAGGUUAAUGAGGCGAACCGGGGGAACUGAAACAUCUAAGUACCCCGAGGAAAAGAAAUCAACCGAGAUUCCCCCAGUAGCGGCGAGCGAACGGGGAGGAGCCCAGAGCCUGAAUCAGCAUGUGUGUUAGUGGAAGCGUCUGGAAAGGCGCGCGAUACAGGGUGACAGCCCCGUACACAAAAGCGCAUGUGCUGUGAGCUCGAUGAGUAGGGCGGGACACGUGGUAUCCUGUCUGAAUAUGGGGGGACCAUCCUCCAAGGCUAAAUACUCCUGACUGACCGAUAGUGAACCAGUACCGUGAGGGAAAGGCGAAAAGAACCCCGGCGAGGGGAGUGAAAAAGAACCUGAAACCGUGUACGUACAAGCAGUGGGAGCCCCACCACUAAGCCAGUGGUGAACUCCACAUACGCAUCCUUUGCUGAGGAUACGGUUAACGGAGCGAAAGCGACGUUCAACCGCAAAAGAAGCAGAGGGGGCUUAGUGGUGGGGUGACUGCGUACCUUUUGUAUAAUGGGUCAGCGACUUAUAUUCUGUAGCAAGGUUAACCGAAUAGGGGAGCCGGAGGGAAACCGAGUCUUAAUUGGGCGUUAAGUUGCAGGGUAUAGACCCGAAACCCGGUGAUCUAGCCAUGGGCAGGUUGAAGGUUGGGUAACACUAACUGGAGGACCGAACCGACUAAUGUUGAAAAAUUAGCGGAUGACCUGUGGCUGGGGGUGAAAGGCCAAUCAAACCGGGAGAUAGCUGGUUCUCCCCGAAAGCUAUUUAGGUAGCGCCUCGUGAAUUCAUCUCCGGGGGUAGAGCACUGUUUCGGCUAGGGGGCCAUCCCGGCUUACCAACCCGAUGCAAACUGCGAAUACCGGAGAAUGUUAUCACGGGAGACACACGGCGGGUGCUAACGUCCGUCGUGAAGAGGGAAACAACCCAGACCGCCAGCUAAGGUCCCAAAGUCAUGGUUAAGUGGGAAACGAUGUGGGAAGGCCCAGACAGCCAGGAUGUUGGCUUAGAAGCAGCCAUCAUUUAAAGAAAGCGUAAUAGCUCACUGGUCGAGUCGGCCUGCGCGGAAGAUGUAACGGGGCUAAACCAUGCACCGAAGCUGCGGCAGCGACACUGUGUGUUGUUGGGUAGGGGAGCGUUCUGUAAGCCUGUGAAGGUGUGUCGUGAGGCAUGCUGGAGGUAUCAGAAGUGCGAAUGCUGACAUAAGUAACGAUAAAGCGGGUGAAAAGCCCGCUCGCCGGAAGACCAAGGGUUCCUGUCCAACGUUAAUCGGGGCAGGGUGAGUCGACCCCUAAGGCGAGGCCGAAAGGCGUAGUCGAUGGGAAACGGGUUAAUAUUCCCGUACUUGGUGUUACUGCGAAGGGGGGACGGAGAAGGCUAUGUUGGCCGGGCGACGGUUGUCCCGGUUUAAGCGUGUAGGUGUGUGUUCCAGGUAAAUCCGGUUCACUUUAACACUGAGGCGUGACGACGAGGCACUACGGUGCUGAAGCAACAAAUGCCCUGCUUCCAGGAAAAGCCUCUAAGCAUCAGGUAACAUCAAAUCGUACCCCAAACCGACACAGGUGGUCAGGUAGAGAAUACCAAGGCGCUUGAGAGAACUCGGGUGAAGGAACUAGGCAAAAUGGUGCCGUAACUUCGGGAGAAGGCACGCUGACAUGUAGGUGAAGUGAUUUACUCAUGGAGCUGAAGUCAGUCGAAGAUACCAGCUGGCUGCAACUGUUUAUUAAAAACACAGCACUGUGCAAACACGAAAGUGGACGUAUACGGUGUGACGCCUGCCCGGUGCCGGAAGGUUAAUUGAUGGGGUCAGCGCAAGCGAAGCUCCUGAUCGAAGCCCCGGUAAACGGCGGCCGUAACUAUAACGGUCCUAAGGUAGCGAAAUUCCUUGUCGGGUAAGUUCCGACCUGCACGAAUGGCGUAAUGAUGGCCAGGCUGUCUCCACCCGAGACUCAGUGAAAUUGAACUCGCUGUGAAGAUGCAGUGUACCCGCGGCAAGACGGAAAGACCCCGUGAACCUUUACUAUAGCUUGACACUGAACAUUGAGCCUUGAUGUGUAGGAUAGGUGGGAGGCUUUGAAGUGUGGACGCCAGUCUGCAUGGAGCCGACCUUGAAAUACCACCCUUUAAUGUUUGAUGUUCUAACGUGGACCCGUUACCCGGGUUGCGGACAGUGUCUGGUGGGUAGUUUGACUGGGGCGGUCUCCUCCUAAAGAGUAACGGAGGAGCACGAAGGUUGGCUAAUCCUGGUCGGACAUCAGGAGGUUAGUGCAAUGGCAUAAGCCAGCUUGACUGCGAGCGUGACGGCGCGAGCAGGUGCGAAAGCAGGUCAUAGUGAUCCGGUGGUUCUGAAUGGAAGGGCCAUCGCUCAACGGAUAAAAGGUACUCCGGGGAUAACAGGCUGAUACCGCCCAAGAGUUCAUAUCGACGGCGGUGUUUGGCACCUCGAUGUCGGCUCAUCACAUCCUGGGGCUGAAGUAGGUCCCAAGGGUAUGGCUGUUCGCCAUUUAAAGUGGUACGCGAGCUGGGUUUAGAACGUCGUGAGACAGUUCGGUCCCUAUCUGCCGUGGGCGCUGGAGAACUGAGGGGGGCUGCUCCUAGUACGAGAGGACCGGAGUGGACGCAUCACUGGUGUUCGGGUUGUCAUGCCAAUGGCACUGCCCGGUAGCUAAAUGCGGAAGAGAUAAGUGCUGAAAGCAUCUAAGCACGAAACUUGCCCCGAGAUGAGUUCUCCCUGAGACUUAGAGUCUCCUGAAGGAACGUUGAAGACGACGACGUUGAUAGGCCGGGUGUGUAAGCGCAGCGAUGCGUUGAGCUAACCGGUACUAAUGAACCGUGAGGCUUAACCUU